RNAcentral lists this ribosomal RNA (253 nucleotides) under uncultured bacterium. Its description in RNAcentral is "partial 16S ribosomal RNA". It matches the Rfam family "Bacterial small subunit ribosomal RNA", at positions 524 to 776 of the family's 1533-position model. The record is from RNAcentral.
UACGUAGGGGGCAAGCGUUGUCCGGAAUUAUUGGGCGUAAAGAGCGUGUAGGCGGUCCGGUAAGUCGGCUGUGAAAGUCCAGGGCUCAACCCUGGGAUGCCGGUCGAUGCUGCCGGACUAGAGUUCGGAAGAGGCGAGUGGAAUUCCCGGUGUAGCGGUGAAAUGCGCAGAUAUCGGGAGGAACACCUAUGGCGAAGGCAGCUCGCUGGGACGUUACUGACACUGAGGCGCGAAAGCGUGGGGAGCGAACAGG